AUACGUAGGUGGCAAGCGUUGUCUGGAUUUACUGGGUGUAAAGGGCGUGUAGGCGGAGAUGCAAGUCAGGAGUGAAAUCUAGGGGCUCAACCCCUAAACUGCUUUUGAAACUGUAUCCCUUGAGUAUCGGAGAGGCAGGAGGAGAUUCUCGCGUAGCGGUGAAAUGCGUAGAUAUUAGGAGGAACACCAGUGGCGAAGGCGGCCUGCUGGACGACAACUGACGCUGAGGCGCGAAAGCGUGGGGAGCAAACAGGAUUAGAUACCCUGGUAGUCCACGCUGUAAACGAUGAAUACUAGGUGUGGGGGGACUGACCCCCUCCGUGCCGCAGUUAACACAAUAAGUAUUCCACCUGGGGAGUACGAUCGCAAGAUUGAAACUCAAAUGAAUGGACGGGG
RNAcentral lists this ribosomal RNA (396 nucleotides) under uncultured bacterium. RNAcentral describes it as "partial 16S ribosomal RNA". It matches the Rfam family "Bacterial small subunit ribosomal RNA", at positions 523 to 918 of the family's 1533-position model. The record is from RNAcentral.